GAUUCCACUGUCGCAUUAUCCCA
This 23-nucleotide non-coding RNA is filed under the name Arabidopsis thaliana (thale cress). Lineage: Eukaryota; Viridiplantae; Streptophyta; Magnoliopsida; Brassicales; Brassicaceae. The record is from RNAcentral.